This 506-nucleotide ribosomal RNA is filed under the name Salmonella enterica. Its description in RNAcentral is "bacterial SSU rRNA". It matches the Rfam family "Bacterial small subunit ribosomal RNA", at positions 1 to 496 of the family's 1533-position model. Lineage: Bacteria; Pseudomonadati; Pseudomonadota; Gammaproteobacteria; Enterobacterales; Enterobacteriaceae. RNAcentral also lists the same sequence under 1 other name. The record is from RNAcentral.
AAAUUGAAGAGUUUGAUCAUGGCUCAGAUUGAACGCUGGCGGCAGGCCUAACACAUGCAAGUCGAACGGUAACAGGAAGCAGCUUGCUGUUUCGCUGACGAGUGGCGGACGGGUGAGUAAUGUCUGGGAAACUGCCUGAUGGAGGGGGAUAACUACUGGAAACGGUGGCUAAUACCGCAUAACGUCGCAAGACCAAAGAGGGGGACCUUCGGGCCUCUUGCCAUCAGAUGUGCCCAGAUGGGAUUAGCUUGUUGGUGAGGUAACGGCUCACCAAGGCGACGAUCCCUAGCUGGUCUGAGAGGAUGACCAGCCACACUGGAACUGAGACACGGUCCAGACUCCUACGGGAGGCAGCAGUGGGGAAUAUUGCACAAUGGGCGCAAGCCUGAUGCAGCCAUGCCGCGUGUAUGAAGAAGGCCUUCGGGUUGUAAAGUACUUUCAGCGGGGAGGAAGGUGUUGUGGUUAAUAACCACAGCAAUUGACGUUACCCGCAGAAGAAGCACCGG